CCCUUAGAUGUUCUGGGCUGCGCGCGCGCUACACUGAAGCGUUCAACGAGUAUUCACCUUGCCCGGGAGGGUUGGGUAAUCUUUUGAAAACGCUUCGUGAUGGGGAUAGAUUAUUGCAAUUAUUAAUCUUCAACGAGGAAUUCCUAGUAAGCGCGAGUCAUCAGCUCGUGCUGAUUACGUCCCUGCCCUUUGUACACACCGCCCGUCGCUCCUACCGAUCGAGUGAUCCGGUGAAUAAUUCGGACUGCAGCACUGCUUGGUCUCCAGGCUUUGCAGCGGAAAGUUUAGUGAACCUUAUCACUUAGAGGAAGGAGAAGUCGUAACA
RNAcentral lists this ribosomal RNA (325 nucleotides) under uncultured eukaryote. RNAcentral's name for it is "partial 18S ribosomal RNA". It matches the Rfam family "Eukaryotic small subunit ribosomal RNA", at positions 1470 to 1796 of the family's 1831-position model. The record is from RNAcentral.